This 73-nucleotide transfer RNA is filed under the name Paramuricea clavata. It matches the Rfam family "tRNA". Rfam says of the family: Transfer RNA (tRNA) molecules are approximately 80 nucleotides in length. Their secondary structure includes four short double-helical elements and three loops (D, anti-codon, and T loops). Lineage: Eukaryota; Metazoa; Cnidaria; Anthozoa; Malacalcyonacea; Plexauridae. The record is from Rfam by way of RNAcentral.
GACCGCAUAGCUCAGUUGGCAGAGCAUUGGGCUAGUAUUCCAAAGGUCGUAGGUUCGAAUCCCACCGUGGCCA